AUGACAGGGUAUAUCAGAACUUGUACAGAACAACAUAUAGACAUACAGACAGACAGAUUCUAUGCAACUACAUUGGAUUCACAACAACCUGCUGUUACAUUGGUAAACAAACAGACAAAGGGGGUUACAUUUUCACUUAGCAUUCACACACAUGUACAUGCAUUCAUCAUCAUCUAUACAAAUAAUAAUAAUAAUAAUAAUAAUAAUAAUAAUAAUAAUAAUAAUAACCCUAACUGGCCCAAUGGCCAAACAAUAAGGUGUCACCAGCCAGAGGCCUAUAAAUAUCUGGGCAUAUUACAGCUGGACAACAUCAAGCAUGAACAUGUGAAAACUGUGGUCAGUAAAGAAUACACACAAAGGGUCAGAAAAAUUCUCAAAAGCAAGCUCAAUGGAGGCAACACCAUCAAGGCCAUAAACACCUGGGCCAUACCUGUCAUAAGAUAUACUGCUGGCAUUAUAAACUGGACACAGAUGGAACUGGACAAUUUGGACAGAAAAACAAGAAAACUCAUGAACAUUCAUCAUUCACUGCACCCUCGCAGUGAUGUUGACCGGCUGUAUCUGCCUAGAAGAUCAGGGGGCAGAGGACUCUUACAAGUCAAACAAGCAGUCAAAGAAGAAGAACAUGCCCUGGCAGAAUAUGUAAAACAAAGUGAAGAACCUGCUUUGAUUGAAGUCAAAAAUCAGAAACUCCUCAAAGCACAGCAGACAAAAAACCAGUACAAGAAAACCGCACUACAAACUAGAGCUGACAGCUGGCACAACAAAACACUGCAUGGAAAGUUCCUUGACAAAAUUGAAGGAAAAGCUGAUAAGGAGAAGACCUGGCUCUGGCUCACGAAUGGGACCCUGAAGAAGGAGACAGAAGGCCUGAUCCUUGCAGCCCAGGAGCAAGCCAUCAGAACAAAUGCAAUUAAGGCCAAGAUCGAAAAAUCAGCUGAUGACCCAAAGUGCAGACUGUGCAAGGAAACAGAUGAAACCAUUGAUCAUAUCCUCAGCUGCUGUAAGAAAAUUGCACAGACAGACUACAAACAGAGGCACAACUAUGUGGCCCAAAUGAUUCAUUGGAACCUAUGCCUCAAGUAUCACCUCCCUGCAGUUAAGAACUGGUGGGAUCACAAACCUGCAAAAGUAUUGGAAAAUGAACACGCAAAGAUACUGUGGGACUUCCGAAUCCAGACUGACAAAGUUCUGGAACACAACACACCAGACAUCACAGUUGUGGAAAAGAACAAGGUUUGGAUCAUUGAUGUUGCCAUCCCAGGUGACAGUCGCAUUGAAGAAAAACAACAGGAAAAACUCAGCCGCUAUCAGGACCUCAAGAUUGAACUUCAAAGACUCUGGCAGAAACCAGUACAGGUGGUCCCGGUGGUGAUCGGCACAUUGGGUGCUGUGCCAAAAGAUCUCAGCCGGCAUUUGGAAACAAUAGACAUUGACAAAAUUACGAUCUGCCAACUGCAAAAGGCCACCUUACUGGGAUCUGCACGCAUCAUCCGAAAAUACAUCACACAGUCCUAG
This 1518-nucleotide long non-coding RNA is filed under the name Anolis carolinensis (green anole). Its description in RNAcentral is "lncRNA (ENSACAG00000044992.1)". The record is from RNAcentral. Lineage: Eukaryota; Metazoa; Chordata; Lepidosauria; Squamata; Anolidae.